AGUGAACGCUGGCGGUAGGCCUAACACAUGCAAGUCGAACGGCAGCACAGUAAGAGCUUGCUCUUACGGGUGGCGAGUGGCGGACGGGUGAGGAAUACAUCGGAAUCUACUUUUUCGUGGGGGAUAACGUAGGGAAACUUACGCUAAUACCGCAUACGACCUACGGGUGAAAGCAGGGGAUCUUCGGACCUUGCGCGAUUGAAUGAGCCGAUGUCGGAUUAGCUAGUUGGCGGGGUAAAGGCCCACCAAGGCGACGAUCCGUAGCUGGUCUGAGAGGAUGAUCAGCCACACUGGAACUGAGACACAGUCCAGACUCCUACGGGGGGCAGCAGUGGGGAAUAUUGGACAAUGGGCGCAAGCCUGAUCCAGCCAUACCGCGUGGGUGAAGAAGGCCUUCGGGUUGUAAAGCCCUUUUGUUGGGAAAGAAAAGCAGCAGGUUAAUACCCCGCUGUUCUGACGGUACCCAAAGAAUAAGCACCGGCUAACUUCGUG
This 492-nucleotide ribosomal RNA is filed under the name uncultured bacterium. Its description in RNAcentral is "partial 16S ribosomal RNA". It matches the Rfam family "Bacterial small subunit ribosomal RNA", at positions 29 to 507 of the family's 1533-position model. The record is from RNAcentral.